UGUCUGAGAAUAGACAUAAGGAUAGGU
This 27-nucleotide non-coding RNA is filed under the name Mus musculus (house mouse). The record is from RNAcentral. Lineage: Eukaryota; Metazoa; Chordata; Mammalia; Rodentia; Muridae.